RNAcentral lists this long non-coding RNA (713 nucleotides) under Coccomyxa subellipsoidea. RNAcentral's name for it is "long non-coding RNA (CSUB_LNC000571)". The record is from RNAcentral. Lineage: Eukaryota; Viridiplantae; Chlorophyta; Trebouxiophyceae; Coccomyxaceae.
GCAUCUGCUACGAAUGAUAGAUUUUUGGUUUGCUCACCUAUGGCUUUGCGCAUCAGGUCAGCCUUCUUUCGUGACCAAUCAUGCGUUGCACGCCAGGCAUUGAAAGUGGUGAAUAGCAACCGACGAUACCACAUCCCGACUGCGGAACGAAGCUUGUCCACUGCUGCAUGGCGUGCUACAAUGCACGUGGUCCAUCUUCUAAACGAGGUGGAUAGGAUCCCGUGAGACCGCCGGCCUGUUUAAAAAAUAACGAUCGCUAGUGCAACAAUCACCGUGGAGUAAAACAUGCAUGUGGCUAUAGCAUCGGUCUGCACGCCCGCUAACAUUUUCACGGUGCUUUGAUGAGAUUGAAAAUAUGCAUCAAUGUGUUUACCUUUAAAGAAAAUAAAGUGGACAUAAAUGUUGUUAUUGACAAAGACCCCUCGUGCCCACCUUGUGCUUCGACAAGGCAUGCUUGUAGAUCAGCUUUGUGCGCAGUGCGCGCCUUCCAAGUUAUAAAGCUUGUGUAUAUUGUCCUGUUGUGCCAGUGGAGGACCACAGAGUGCAACAACUUAUGCUUGGCAAUCCGUGCCGUCGCCCAUGGCGCCCAAGCUUUCCAUGCCCUUGACAAUUUGUUUUCUCGCCAGUGAGUGACGCUUGCUUGAAUUGCUUUGGUCUUGCCUUCUUUCUUCUGAAUGAUGGCCUGGCCAAGAAAAUGUUACCAUUAAAAAUGU